CGGAGGGGGCUAGCGUUGUCCGAAGUUACUGGGCGUAAAGCGCGCGUAGGCGGGUUGGUAAGUCCGCUGUGAAAGCCCGGAGCUCAACUCCGGAGGGUCGGUGGAUACUGCCAGUCUUGAAGGUGCUAGGGGGAGAUGGAAUUACCGGUGUAGCGGUGAAAUGCGUAGAUAUCGGUAGGAACACCAGUGGCGAAGGCGGUCUCCUGGGGCAUUCUUGACGCUGAGGCGCGAAAGCUGGGGGAGCGAACGGGAUUAGAUACCCCGGUAGUCCCAGCCCUAAACGAUGAAUACUAGGUGUCGGGGGUAUCGACCCCUCCGGUGCCGCCGCUAACGCAGUAAGUAUUCCGCCUGGGGAGUACGGCCGCAAGGUUG
RNAcentral lists this ribosomal RNA (372 nucleotides) under uncultured organism. Its description in RNAcentral is "bacterial SSU rRNA". It matches the Rfam family "Bacterial small subunit ribosomal RNA", at positions 526 to 896 of the family's 1533-position model. The record is from RNAcentral.